GGCCGAUGAUGCAGUUUUGUUUUAAGGUGGAGUUCUACUUUCUUUUAUAAGUAGUAUUGGAGAGUGAAGACCUUACCAAAAUUCAGGAAUUCACCGAGUCGAGUAAAGUUGGUGUCGUUCGGCAGUUUCGUAAAGGAUUGACCUUAUUGAUUCUUCGGUCAAGAGAUAGUGACCUGCAUCUAGAAUAACUCCUGCCAAAAGAGCAAGGAAGUUUGUGCGAGGUUCGCUCACCAGGAAAAAGCCGGGUCUGGAAAUCGCGAUCAGUGCCUGUGACCGAAGGAUGGUUUCACGAGUAAGUUGGAAAUUGGAGAACAGCAACAACCGAGUGGUGAAGGAAGUCUGAGACCAGAAAUCUUCCCCCGACAACAGCAACAAUCAAGUGGUGACUAAGAAUCUUAUUACCACAUCUCCUGGACACUCGAAUUGUUGGAUCUAGUCAUCCCAGCCUAUUACGUAAGACCAGGGAAUUAAUUGUGGAUUUCAGGAAAGGGAAGUCAAGAGAACACACACCAUUCUUCACUGAGGGGUCAAUCAUGGAAAAGGUGAGAAGCUCCAAGUUCCUGAGCUUAACAUCUCAGAUGACCGAUCCUGGUCUCAACACGUUGAUGCAGUUUCGAAGAAGGCAUGCAAUUGGAUAUACUUCAUCAGGAAUUCAAGGUGAUUUGGUAGUGUCACCAAAGACUCGAGCAAAUUUCUACAAAUGUGGAGUGGGAGGCAUUCUGACUGCCCGGUGUGGAAGCUCCAAUGUACAGGAUCAAAAGAGAGUGCAGAGGUUUGCGGACUUAUCCAGCUCCAUUGUGGGCAACCUCUCCACCACCAAGGUCAUCUUCAAAAGGCAAUGCCUCAAGAACGCAGUAUCAAUUAUGAAGGACCCUUGCCUGAUGAGAUCAUGACCACCAUCAGGGAUGAAGUACAGGAGCCUGAGAGCCCACAUCGAACGUUUUAGGAACAGCUUCUUCCCCUCCGCCAUCCACUUUCUGAACAGUCUAUGAACACUGCCUUACUAAUUUUCUUUUCCUGUAUUUAUUUAGUAUCGCAACUUACAGUAAUUUUGUAUUGUCUUGCACUGUACUGCUGCCACAGUACAAUGAAUUUCACAGCUUGUCAGUAAUAA
Molecule: long non-coding RNA, 1114 nt
Organism: Mobula hypostoma (lesser devil ray)
Lineage: Eukaryota; Metazoa; Chordata; Chondrichthyes; Myliobatiformes; Myliobatidae
Exons: 3
Source: RefSeq, a predicted model, not a curated record